Molecule: ribosomal RNA, 1681 nt
Filed under: metagenome
Description: bacterial LSU rRNA
Rfam family: Bacterial large subunit ribosomal RNA
Source: RNAcentral
CAGGCUAAUCCGCCCUGGGUAAGUCGGGACCUAAGGCGAGGCCGACAGGCGUAGUCGAUGGACAACGGGUUGAUAUUCCCGUACUGACGAAAAACCGCCCAGAUCAAUCCAGUAAUGCUAAGUGUCUGAAUCCCUUUGACCGAUCCCUUCGGGGUGAGGCGUUGGGCCUAGCACACGACCCUAUGCUGGUGCGGUUAGCGUAUUAACAGGUGUGACGCAGGAAGGUAGCUGAGCCGGGCGAUGGUUGUCCCGGUCUAAGGAUGUAGGGCGAACGAUAGGCAAAUCCGUCGUUCACAUAGCCUGAGACCCGAUGGGUAGCUCUCACGAGCGAAAUCAGUGAUCCUAUGCUGCCAAGAAAAGCAUCGACGCGAGGUUUUAGUCACCCGUACCCCAAACCGACUCAGGUGUUCAGGUAGAGAAUACCAAGGAGAUCGAGAGAAUCGUGGUUAAGGAACUCGGCAAAAUGCCCCCGUAACUUCGGGAGAAGGGGGGCCCGCGGUGUGAAGGGACUUGCUCCUGGAGCACCAUACGGCCGCAGAGACCAGUGGGAAGCGACUGUUUACUAAAAACACAGGUCCGCGCCAAGUCGCAAGACGAUGUAUACGGACUGACGCCUCCCCGGUGCUGGAAGGUUAAGAGGAACGGUUAGCCGCAAGGCGAAGCUGAGAAUUUAAGCCCCAGUAAACGGCGGCGGUAACUAUAACCAUCCUAAGGUAGCGAAAUUCCUUGUCGGGUAAGUUCCGACCUGCACGAAUGGCGUAACGACUUCCCAGCUGUCUCAACCGCGAACUCGGCGAAAUUGCACUACGAGUAAAGAUGCUCGUUACGCGCAGAAGGACGGAAAGACCCCGUGACCUUUACUACAGCUUGGUAUUGGUGUUCGGUGUGGCUUGUGUAGGAUAGGUGGGAGACUGUGAAGCUUGGACGCUAGUUCAGGUGGAGUCAUUGUUGAAAUACCACUCUGGUCACUCUGGAUAUCUAACUUCGAACCGUGAUCCGGUUCAGGGACAGUGCCUGGUGGGUAGUUUAACUGGGGCGGUUGCCUCCUAAAAAGUAACGGAGGCGCCCAAAGGUUCCCUCAACCUGGUUGGCAAUCAGGUGGCGAGUGUAAGUGCACAAGGGAGCUUGACUGUGAGACUGACAAGUCGAGCAGGGACGAAAGUCGGGACUAGUGAUCCGGCAGUGGCUUGUGGAAGCGCUGUCGCUCAACGGAUAAAAGGUACCUCGGGGAUAACAGGCUGAUCUUGCCCAAGAGUCCAUAUCGACGGCAUGGUUUGGCACCUCGAUGUCGGCUCGUCGCAUCCUGGGGCUGGAGUAGGUCCCAAGGGUUGGGCUGUUCGCCCAUUAAAGCGGUACGCGAGCUGGGUUUAGAACGUCGUGAGACAGUUCGGUCCCUAUCCUCUGCGCGCGCAGGAAAUUUGAGAAGAUCUAUCCCUAGUACGAGAGGACCGGGAUGGACGAACCUCUGGUGUGUCAGUUGUUCCGCCAGGAGCACCGCUGAUUAGCUACGUUCGGAACGGAUAACCGCUGAAAGCAUCUAAGCGGGAAGCCGGCUUCAAGAUGAGAUUUCCAUGCCUUCGGGCGAGAGGCUCCCAGCUAGACUACUGGGUUGAUAGGCAGGAUGUGGAAGUGCGGACUAAAGACGCAUGGAGCUGACCUGUACUAAUAAGCCGAUAACUUG